UUUCAUGUGGAAAUGCCUGCUUCUUCUUCUUUUAGGGGCACAAAUACAUCCAUAACAUUCUAUAUUACAAAUUUAAAAGAAGUAGUUCAGUGCUACCAACCUUACAUACAGGUUAAGUAGUGUAUUUCUCUUACACAC
This 138-nucleotide small nucleolar RNA is filed under the name Sorex araneus (European shrew). RNAcentral describes it as "Small nucleolar RNA U109 (ENSSARG00000019610.1)". It matches the Rfam family "Small nucleolar RNA U109". The record is from RNAcentral. Lineage: Eukaryota; Metazoa; Chordata; Mammalia; Eulipotyphla; Soricidae.